AUGGCUUGGCGGGCGCGAGAUGAGGCUGGAGGAGAGGCCGAGGCGUGGCUUGGCGCCUACCAGAGCCACGAGGCCGCCGCCGCCGGCGUCGGACGUCCAAGUCAGUCGCGGCAAACGGCCGUUGCAGGUGUAAGGACCAAAGCAAGGCAACGACACAAGGCCGGGCAUCGGAGCAGAGCAAAGGAAAUAAGAGACACACACAGAGGAGGGGAGAGCGACGAGGGAUCUAGCGGCGGCACUCGCUCCGGUGGAACGUGGAGCGCCAGCAACUUUGGUGGAGGCUUCACAUCUGCGCCUGUGUGA
This 303-nucleotide ribosomal RNA is filed under the name Triticum aestivum (bread wheat). RNAcentral describes it as "partial small subunit ribosomal RNA". Lineage: Eukaryota; Viridiplantae; Streptophyta; Magnoliopsida; Poales; Poaceae. The record is from RNAcentral.